UUUCCGUAGGUGAACCUGCGGAAGGAUCAUUAUUGAAUGAAACACUUCUGGCUUUAUGCUGUUGUGCUGGCCCUUUGGGCAAUGUGCACACGGUUGUGGUCACUUGUUUCUUCUGUUCCACCUGUGCUCUGCCUGUAAACACGCUGUGUCUAUGAUAUUUGUUAACACACAACAAUGUUAGGUGGCAUGUUAUAUAUAAUAAUAAAAUAUACAACUUUCAACAACGGAUCUCUUGGCUCUC
This 241-nucleotide unclassified non-coding RNA is filed under the name plant metagenome. Its description in RNAcentral is "partial contains small subunit ribosomal RNA, internal transcribed spacer 1, and 5.8S ribosomal RNA". The record is from RNAcentral.